GACGGGUAUCAAUUGAAAGAGCUAAACAAGAAUUGUAGAUGAACUUCUGUAAUAAAAAUAAUAAAAGCUAAAUCAAAUCAAAACUCAUCUUUUUGGGGUCUAAAACAUCAAGUCUGGCGUUGUUAGAAAAAUAUUGUGCAUUGAAUAAACAUCCACACGUAAGUUCUAUAGAAGACGCUCUUGAAUAUAAGAGUUUCUUG
Ipomoea nil (Japanese morning glory) is the source of this 200-nucleotide long non-coding RNA. RefSeq lists it as uncharacterized. The record is from RefSeq and is a predicted model, not a curated record. NCBI's taxonomy places the organism in Eukaryota, Viridiplantae, Streptophyta, Magnoliopsida, Solanales, Convolvulaceae. The transcript has 3 exons.